AAAGGCGUAAUGAAAGUGAAGGUUCGCCUAGCGCGAACCGAGGGAGGAUGGACGGUCUAUCGUGGCCGUCCCGCACUCCCUGGGCGUCUCGUUCUCAUCGCGAGAAGAGGCGCACCAAGAGCGUACACGCUGGGACCCGAAAGAUGGUGAACUAUGCCUGGUCAGGACGAAGUCAGGGGAAACCCUGAUGGAGGUCCGUAGCGAUUCUGACGUGCAAAUCGAUCGUCGGAACUGGGUAUAGGGGCGAAAGACUAAUCGAACCAUCUAGUAGCUGGUUCCCUCCGAAGUUUCCCUCAGGAUAGCUGGCGCUCGCUUCUCGCGAGUCUCAUUCGGUAAAGCGAAUGAUUAGAGGCAUUGGGGUCGAAACGGCCUCAACCUAUUCUCAAACUUUAAAUGGGUGAGAUCUCCGGCUUGCUUGAACUGUGAAGCCGCGAGAUAUCGGAUCAGAGUGCCAAGUGGGCCACUUUUGGUAAGCAGAACUGGCGCUGUGGGAUGAACCAAACGCCGAGUUAAAGCGCCUAAAUCGACGCUUAUGGGA
Molecule: ribosomal RNA, 538 nt
Filed under: Anomala exoleta
Lineage: Eukaryota; Metazoa; Arthropoda; Insecta; Coleoptera; Scarabaeidae
Description: eukaryotic LSU rRNA
Rfam family: Eukaryotic large subunit ribosomal RNA
Source: RNAcentral